RNAcentral lists this ribosomal RNA (449 nucleotides) under uncultured bacterium. Its description in RNAcentral is "partial 16S ribosomal RNA". It matches the Rfam family "Bacterial small subunit ribosomal RNA", at positions 29 to 523 of the family's 1533-position model. The record is from RNAcentral.
AACGAACGCUGGCGGCAUGCCUAACACAUGCAAGUCGAACGAGAUCUUCGGGUCUAGUGGCGCACGGGUGCGUAACGCGUGGGAAUCUGCCCUUUGGUUCGGAAUAACAGUUGGAAACGACUGCUAAUACCGGAUGAUGACGAAAGUCCAAAGAUUUAUCGCCAGAGGAUGAGCCCGCGUAGGAUUAGCUAGUUGGUGUGGUAAAGGCGCACCAAGGCGACGAUCCUUAGCUGGUCUGAGAGGAUGAUCAGCCACACUGGGACUGAGACACGGCCCAGACUCAUACGGGAGGCAGCAGUGGGGAAAAUUGGACAAUGGGCGAAAGCCUGAUCCAGCAAUGCCGCGUGAGUGAUGAAGGCCUUAGGGUUGUAAAGCUCUUUUACCCGGGAUGAUAAUGACAGUACCGGGAGAAUAAGCUCCGGCUAACUCCGUGCCAGCCGCCGCUGUAA